RNAcentral lists this transfer RNA (90 nucleotides) under Candidatus Wildermuthbacteria bacterium RIFCSPHIGHO2_02_FULL_47_12. RNAcentral describes it as "tRNA-Ser". It matches the Rfam family "tRNA". Rfam says of the family: Transfer RNA (tRNA) molecules are approximately 80 nucleotides in length. Their secondary structure includes four short double-helical elements and three loops (D, anti-codon, and T loops). Lineage: Bacteria; Candidatus Wildermuthiibacteriota. The record is from RNAcentral.
GGAGGAGUGACUGAGCGGUUGAAAGUGCGGCUCUCGAAAAGCCGUAGGCUCGCAAGGGCCUCGUGAGUUCGAAUCUCACCUCCUCCGCAA